CUUCCAGCGAUGAACCGCGCGCGGCGAGAGUGCGUUCGAUAUAGGCGAACCGCCGCUCGAACUUCGCGUUGGUUGCACGUAACGCCAUCUCGGGAUCGGCCUUGGCAUGGCGCGCCAGAUUGACGACGGCAAACAGAAGNUUCUUCGGCGAUGUGCGAUUGAUCGCCGCUGUCCAGCGCCGCCUCGAUUUCGUCGGCCUCCUCGCG
This 206-nucleotide unclassified non-coding RNA is filed under the name Hevea brasiliensis (rubber tree). The record is from RNAcentral. Lineage: Eukaryota; Viridiplantae; Streptophyta; Magnoliopsida; Malpighiales; Euphorbiaceae.